UGAAGAGUCUCUACAUGGAACAUGGCAGCC
Molecule: non-coding RNA, 30 nt
Filed under: Mus musculus (house mouse)
Lineage: Eukaryota; Metazoa; Chordata; Mammalia; Rodentia; Muridae
Source: RNAcentral